UCUAUUUCCUGUUGACUUUGCGUUCUUAGGCUUCCUUUUCCCCAUGAGAUGGCAGAAUGGCUGCUUACAAUUUCAGAUCACACCCUUUCCAGCAGAAAGGGAGUUUCUUUUCCCUGAUGCUGUCAACAAAAGUCCCAGGACUACAUCCCAUUGGUCUAACUUGUGUUACCCGUGCAUCACUAAACCACUCUCCUGAGAAGGGGCAUGGAACAUUCUGACAGCUCCUCACAAAUCGCGUGGACUGAGAUUUGGGGAGAGGUGGCUUCCUGUGCUAGAUCAUUUCUGUUGGCCCUUCCAGACCUACUCUCCACCCUUUUCCUUCCUGAUUUGAACCUCAAGAGGCCAACCUGCAUGGACUGCUUCCACAGAUCCCUUGUCCUCUGACUUACAGUUGAAUUCACCAAAUAGAAGACAUUGGAAAUGAGACCCGAGGGUUGGAGGAGGAGGAAGCCUGCAAUGUGAACACGAUGGCUGGAGCUCCGGCAGCCAUUCUGGACCAGGAGGUAGCCUUGAAGAUGGAAGCCACAUGUUGGGAUGGUGAAUCCAAAAGAUGAGGAGCCUGUAUCCCCUGUGACACCAGAACUGCCAUACCAGCCCUGGGUUCCUCCAUCUAUACUGCCUUCAUAUGGUAAAGAAAUAUUCUUGGAUCUUGUUAGGUGUCUGUUGCAGCCAAACACAAUCCCAACUGAUAUUCACUGUAAAUGAUUCCAUGGCUCCCUGUAGUACUUCUAC
RNAcentral lists this long non-coding RNA (732 nucleotides) under Homo sapiens (human). Its description in RNAcentral is "non-protein coding RCAN3AS:24". The record is from RNAcentral. Lineage: Eukaryota; Metazoa; Chordata; Mammalia; Primates; Hominidae.